UAACGGCGAGUGAAGCGGCAACGCUCAAUUUGAAAUCUGGCGUCUUUGCGCGUCCGAGUUGUAAUUUGCAGAGGGCGCUUUGGAAUUGGCAGCGGUCCAAGUUCCCUUGGAACAGGACGUCCCAGAGGGUGAGACUCCCGUACGUGGUCGCUAGCCUUUACCGUGUAAAGCCCCUUCGACGAGUCGAGUUGUUUGGGAAUGCAGCUCUAAAUGGGAGGUAAAUUUCUUCUAAAGCUAAAUACUGGCCAGAGACCGAUAGCGCACAAGUAGAGUGAUCGAAAGAUGAAAAGCACUUUGGAAAGAGAGUUAAAAAGCACGUGAAAUUGUUGAAAGGGAAGCGCUUGCAGCCAGACUUGCCUGUAGUUGCUCAUCCGGGUUUCUACCCGGUGCACUCUUCUAUAGGCAGGCCAGCAUCAGUUUGGGCGGUUGGAUAAAGGUCUCUGUCAUGUACCUCCUUUCGGGGAAAACUUAUAGGGGAGACGACAUGCAACCAGCCUGGACUGAGGUCCGCCCAUCUGCUAGGAUGCUGGCGUAAUGGCUGUA
RNAcentral lists this ribosomal RNA (543 nucleotides) under Nothophoma quercina. RNAcentral describes it as "partial large subunit ribosomal RNA". It matches the Rfam family "Eukaryotic large subunit ribosomal RNA", at positions 84 to 642 of the family's 3401-position model. Lineage: Eukaryota; Fungi; Ascomycota; Dothideomycetes; Pleosporales; Didymellaceae. The record is from RNAcentral.